GUGGCCCUGGCCGAGGGUUUCCUCCUGAGUCAGGCCGAGGAGAAGAGGCAGGCAGAACAGAGGUUGAGUCUAUCUGUGAAGAUGGAAGCUACGUUGGAAAGAGCUCCAUUGGAGGAAGGGCAGCUGGGAUCGGCCCAGGAAUGUCCCCAAGACGCCCUCUCACAUGGCAGUGAAGAAGCUGUGUUGACCUGUUCAGU
Sphaerodactylus townsendi is the source of this 197-nucleotide long non-coding RNA. RefSeq lists it as uncharacterized. The transcript is spliced from 3 exons. NCBI's taxonomy places the organism in Eukaryota, Metazoa, Chordata, Lepidosauria, Squamata, Sphaerodactylidae. The record is from RefSeq and is a predicted model, not a curated record.